AUGGAGGGCUCAGCGAACCAUUUGGGGAAACUCUGAGGAACAGAACGGGCUCAUCGCUCAAGUCCUGGCGUUCUGUGAGUGGCGUACAGAAUACUGAGAAUAUAAACGCACCUUCAAAGAUUGAUACACAAGGUUCUAAGACACUGUGCUAGAUCCUGCGGAUGUGGCCCUAAACCAGCAAGCUGGGCUCAGCUGUCACAGGAACUGCAGGCCUGCCCGCUGAGUACGGAUUUUGACGUUGACGCGGAUGGCUUAGGGGGGAAGAGCCGAGCAGGAGGACUGCAGGAACCCGCAAGAGCUGCCCCCCAGAGCCUCGGGUUCCCAGGAGCUGUGAGUACUGGAGCAGCACCAACUCACUGCUUGCCAGGGCUUGGGCUGUGGAGAUGCUUGUGACAAGGAUUUUCCCAGCUGGCAAAGGUCUGGCUGGCGGACUUCUGUGAGUGUUCCUCCCUCGCGCGAAGAAGUGUGGGAAUGAACGAAAGACGAACUGCAGCUGACUCUCUGUGGGAUCGGCUGUGACGCUGUGUUCCAGAUACUCAGACUCGGAAGCUCUGGAAGAGCAACACCCAUCUAUACCCCCGCAACACCCCACUUCCCUGCCAAUACUUGGUACUUCUCAGCUCUCUUAUUUUCCAGUGUAAUAGA
Molecule: long non-coding RNA, 645 nt
Organism: Pteronotus mesoamericanus
Lineage: Eukaryota; Metazoa; Chordata; Mammalia; Chiroptera; Mormoopidae
Exons: 4
Source: RefSeq, a predicted model, not a curated record